UACGAAGGGCGCUAGCGUUGCUCGGAAUCACUGGGCGUAAAGGGUGCGUAGGCGGGCCUUUAAGUCUGGGGUGAAAUCCUGGAGCUCAACUCCAGAACUGCCUUUGAUACUGAGGAUCUUGAGUUCGGGAGAGGUGAGUGGAACUGCGAGUGUAGAGGUGAAAUUCGUAGAUAUUCGCAAGAACACCAGUGGCGAAGGCGACUCACUGGCCCGAUACUGACGCUGAGGUGCGAAAGCGUGGGGAGCAAACAGG
Molecule: ribosomal RNA, 253 nt
Filed under: uncultured bacterium
Lineage: Bacteria
Description: partial 16S ribosomal RNA
Rfam family: Bacterial small subunit ribosomal RNA
Source: RNAcentral